GAUGAACGCUGGCUACAGGCUUAACACAUGCAAGUCGAGGGGAAACGACGGGGAAGCUUGCUUCCCCGGGCGUCGACCGGCGCACGGGUGAGUAACGCGUAUCCAACCUGCCUCUGACUGAGGGAUAACCCGUCGAAAGUCGGCCUAAUACCUCAUGGUAUCGUCUGCGGGCAUCCAACGACGAUUAAAGAUUUCAUCGGUCAGGGAUGGGGAUGCGUCUGAUUAGCUUGUUGGCGGGGUAACGGCCCACCAAGGCUACGAUCAGUAGGGGUUCUGAGAGGAAGGUCCCCCACAUUGGAACUGAGACACGGGCCAAACUCCUACGGGAGGCAGCAGUGAGGAAUAUUGGUCAAUGGGCGAGAGCCUGAACCAGCCAAGUAGCGUGCAGGAAGACGGCCCUAUGGGUUGUAAACUGCUUUUAUGCGGGGAUAAAGUGAGGGACGGGUCCCUCAUUGCAGGUACCGCAUGAAUAAGGACCGGCUAAUUCCGUG
Molecule: ribosomal RNA, 491 nt
Filed under: uncultured bacterium
Lineage: Bacteria
Description: partial 16S ribosomal RNA
Rfam family: Bacterial small subunit ribosomal RNA
Source: RNAcentral